This 2033-nucleotide ribosomal RNA is filed under the name Francisella tularensis subsp. holarctica. Its description in RNAcentral is "partial 23S ribosomal RNA". It matches the Rfam family "Bacterial large subunit ribosomal RNA", at positions 1 to 2066 of the family's 2925-position model. The record is from RNAcentral. Lineage: Bacteria; Pseudomonadati; Pseudomonadota; Gammaproteobacteria; Thiotrichales; Francisellaceae.
UUAAGAAAAUAAGUGCAAGCGGUGGAUGCCUUGGCAUUCAGAGGCGAUGAAGGACGUGAUAAUCUGCGAUAAGCUUCGGUUAGCUGGUAAAUGAGCUAUGACCCGGAGAUUUCCGAAUGGGGGAACCCACCUGACACAAGUUGGGUACUCACUCGAUAUAGAGUGUAGAGCGAACGAGGGGAACUGAAACAUCUAAGUACCCUUAGGAAGAGAAAUCAAUUGAGAUUCCCGUAGUAGUGGCGAGCGAAGUGGGAAGAGCCUGGUAUGAUUUAGCUGUAAUUAUAGUAGAACAAGUUGGGAAGCUUGACGAUAGAGGGUGAUAGUCCCGUAUACGAAAUAAUCACAGUGGAACUAAGCAUACGAACAAGUAGGACGGGGCACGUGGAACCUUGUCUGAAUAUGGGGGGACCAUCCUCCAAGGCUAAAUACUCCUGAAUGACCGAUAGUGAACUAGUACCGUGAGGGAAAGGUGAAAAGAACCCUUAUAAAGGGAGUGAAAUAGAAUCUGAAACCGCUUGCAUACAAGCAGUAGGAGCAUGAUUUAGUCAUGUGACUGCGUACCUUUUGUAUAAUGGGUCAGCGAGUUAUUUUUAGUGGCGAGGAUAACUGAAUAAGGGAUCCGUAGCGAAAGCGAGUUUUAAUAGGGCGACUAGUCGCUAGGAGUAGACCCGAAACCGGCGCGAUCUAUCCAUGGCCAGGUUGAAGAUUAGGUAGUACUAAUUGGAGGACCGAACCCAAUACUGUUGCAAAAGUAUGGGAUGAGCUGUGGAUCGGAGUGAAAGGCUAAUCAAGCACGGAGAUAGCUGGUUCUCCCCGAAAACUAUUUAGGUAGUGCCUCGUGUAUAACUCAUUGGGGUAAAGCACUGUUUCGACAAUGGGGGUUUUACGACCUUACUGACUCGAUGCAAACUCAGAAUACGAUGAAGUUCGAUCACGGGAGACACACUGCGGGUGCUAAGGUCCGCAGUGGAAAGGGAAACAGCCCAGACCGCCAACUAAGGUCCCAAAGUCAUAGCUAAGUGGGAAACGAAGUGGGAAGGCCCAGACAGCCAGGAGGUUGGCUUAGAAGCAGCCACCCUUUAAAGAAAGCGUAAUAGCUCACUGGUCGAGUCGGCCUGCACGUAAGAUUUAACGGGGCUAAGCUAUGCACUGAAGUUGCGGAAUAUAUUUAGUAUAUUGGUAGGGGAGCGUUCUGUAAGCCGAUGAAGGUGAAUUGAGAAGUUUGCUGGAGGUAUCAGAAGUGCGAAUGCUGACAUGAGUAACGUAAAAUAAGUGAGAUUCUUAUUGGCCGAAAACCCAAGGGUUCCUACGCAAUGUUAAUCAACGUAGGGUAAGCCGGCCCCUAAGGCGUAGCUGAAGAGUGAAGUCGAUGGGAAACAGGUUAAUAUUCCUGUGCUGCUUAUAUGAACGAAGGAGGGACGGAGAAGGUUAGGUAGGCCUGGCGAAUGGUUGUCCAGGUGAAAGUAUGUAGGUAGGAAUGCUAGGCAAAUCCGGUGUUCUGUUGAUCUGAGAUACGAGACGAAGUUAAACUUGUUUGACGAAGCUAUUGAUACCAUGCUUCCAGGAAAAGCUUCUAAGUAUAUUGUAUAAGUGACCGUACUGUAAACCGACACUGGUGGGUAGGUAGAGAAUACUAAGGCUAUGAGAUAACUCUGGUGAAGGAACUAGGCAAAAUGACACCGUAACUUUGGAAGAAGGUGUGCCCUUGAUGGUGAUGAGACUUGCUCUUUGAGCUGUUGGGGGUUGCAGAUACCAGGUGGCUGCGACUGUUUAUCAAAAACACAGCACUCUGCGAAAUCGUAAGAUGAAGUAUAGGGUGUGACGCCUGCCCGGUGCUGGAAGGUUAAUUGAAGGGGUUAGCGCAAGCGAAGCUCUGGAUCGAAGCCCCAGUAAACGGCGGCCGUAACUAUAACGGUCCUAAGGUAGCGAAAUUCCUUGUCGGGUAAGUUCCGACCUGCACGAAUGGCGUAACGAUGGCCACACUGUCUCCACCAGAGACUCAGUGAAAUUGAAAUCGCUGUGAAGAUGCAGUG